This 325-nucleotide ribosomal RNA is filed under the name Escherichia coli LAU-EC8. RNAcentral describes it as "bacterial LSU rRNA". It matches the Rfam family "Bacterial large subunit ribosomal RNA", at positions 2618 to 2925 of the family's 2925-position model. Lineage: Bacteria; Pseudomonadati; Pseudomonadota; Gammaproteobacteria; Enterobacterales; Enterobacteriaceae. The record is from RNAcentral.
GUCGUGAGACAGUUCGGUCCCUAUCUGCCGUGGGCGCUGGAGAACUGAGGGGGGCUGCUCCUAGUACGAGAGGACCGGAGUGGACGCAUCACUGGUGUUCGGGUUGUCAUGCCAAUGGCACUGCCCGGUAGCUAAAUGCGGAAGAGAUAAGUGCUGAAAGCAUCUAAGCACGAAACUUGCCCCGAGAUGAGUUCUCCCUGACUCUUUAAGGGUCCUGAAGGAACGUUGAAGACGACGACGUUGAUAGGCCGGGUGUGUAAGCGCAGCGAUGCGUUGAGCUAACCGGUACUAAUGAACCGUGAGGCUUAACCUUACAACGCCGAAG